UGAGGAACAUGACCUUCGGCGGGGGAUAGCCGGCCCAACGGCCGGGUAAUACCGCGUACGACCACAUGGGGACAUCCCCGAGUGGUGAAAGCAGCAAUGCGCCGAUGGAGUGCCUCGCGGCCUAUCAGCUAGUUGGUGUGGGUAAUGGCCCACCAAGGCGACGACGGGUAGCCGGCCUGAGGAGGGUGACCGGCCACACGUGGGACUGAGGCACGGCCAGACUCCGUACGGGAGCAGCGAGG
Molecule: ribosomal RNA, 242 nt
Filed under: uncultured bacterium
Lineage: Bacteria
Description: partial 16S ribosomal RNA
Rfam family: Bacterial small subunit ribosomal RNA
Source: RNAcentral